UGGGGAAUAUUGCACAAUGGGCGCAAGCCUGAUGCAGCCAUGCCGCGUGUGUGAAGAAGGCCUUCGGGUUGUAAAGCACUUUCAGCGAGGAGGAAGGUGGUGAACUUAAUACGUUCAUCAAUUGACGUUACUCGCAGAAGAAGCACCGGCUAACUCCGUGCCAGCAGCCGCGGUAAUACGGAGGGUGCAAGUGUUAAUCGGAAUUACUGGGCGUAAAGCGCACGCAGGCGGUUUGUUAAGUCAGAUGUGAAAUCCCCGGGCUCAACCUGGGAACUGCAUUUGAAACUGGCAAGCUAGAGUCUCGUAGAGGGGGGUAGAAUUCCAGGUGUAGCGGUGGAAUGCGUAGAGAUCUGGAGGAAUACCGGUGGCGAAGGCGGCCCCCUGGACGAAGACUGACGCUCAGGUGCGAAAAGCGUGGGGAGCAAACAGGAUUAGAUACCCUGGUAGUCCACGCUGUAAACGAUGUCGAUUUUGGAGGUUGUGCCCUUGAGGCGUGGCUUCCGGAGCUAACGCGUUAAAUCGACCGCCUGGGGAGUACGGCCGCAAGGUUAAAACUCAAAGGAAUUGACGGGGUAUAGCUGUUUCCU
This 587-nucleotide ribosomal RNA is filed under the name uncultured bacterium. RNAcentral describes it as "partial 16S ribosomal RNA". It matches the Rfam family "Bacterial small subunit ribosomal RNA", at positions 355 to 932 of the family's 1533-position model. The record is from RNAcentral.